This 484-nucleotide ribosomal RNA is filed under the name uncultured bacterium. RNAcentral describes it as "partial 16S ribosomal RNA". It matches the Rfam family "Bacterial small subunit ribosomal RNA", at positions 29 to 523 of the family's 1533-position model. The record is from RNAcentral.
AGUGAACGCUGGCGGCGUGCUUAACACAUGCAAGUCGAACGAGAACGGAUUAUAGCUUGCUAUAAUUGUCAGCUAAGUGGCGCACGGGUGAGUAAUGUAUAGGUAAUAUGCCUCUUACUAAGGGAUAACAAAUGGAAACGUUUGCUAAUACCUUAUACUCCUUAUUAACAGAAGUUAAUAAGGGAAAGAUUUAUUGGUAAGAGAUUAGCCUGUAUUGUAUCAGUUAGUUGGUGGGGUAAUGGCCUACCAAGACUAUGACACAUAACUGGUUUGAGAGGAUGAUCAGUCACACGGGAACUGAGACACGGUCCAGACUCCUAGGGGGGGCAGCAGUGGAGAAUAUUGCACAAUGGACGAAAGUCUGAUGCAGCAACGCCGCGUGGAGGAUGACACAUUUCGGUGCGUAAACUCCUUUUAUAUGAGAAGAUAAUGACGGUAUUAUAUGAAUAAGCACCGGCUAACUCCGUGCCAGCAGCCGCCGUAA